GAUACUCUCGGACUUCUACAUUAGCUGCAACAUGAAAAAAAGGCAUCAAAUUACAAAGAUCAUAUGUAAAAAUUGAGAAUCCUAUAAAUAUUUACAAAGCAAACAUGUUUACAGCAGAACUGAACCAUAGAGAGAAAAGGAAUCUUUGGCAGGUGCGUAAGAUAGUGUUCAAGGAGAGGUAGCUUUGUGGCUUAGUGCCCAGCCAACAUCCGUGAGCAGAAGCAAGCACCACAAAGCUUCGAGUAGAUAACAGCAGCAAGCUGAGGAAUAAUAAUAAUGGAGAAGUAAAAAAGAAGAGCACAGGAAACAUCAGGCCAUCUAUGGCUCAUGCUGGUGAGUGAGGAAGAGGAACCCUAAGCCUACCACACAAGAGAUCCUCUCCAACGCCACACUGCAGCUGCCGUCCUUCUCCAAUUCAGCACCACCCUCCAGAGAUCCAAAUCUCCACUUCCACCACCGCCUCUCUUUUGCCUAGAUUCCACUGUCAUCUUUUGUGUUGUUUCUGGUCAACAAAAAGAGAUUCAGGGCGGGGUUGGCAUAUAGGGCAUCGAGGACUGGUACUGAACCCAGCAGAGGCGGCCUGAGCCCCACAGGGCCAUGCUACUUUGCUGCUUAUGGUCUCAAGAUGGCAAUGGAUACCCUGCAAGCGGAUAUCCACGGAUAUUUUCUAGGAGGAUCUGGUCUUGUAGGAAUCAACUUUGAUCGUCGCAUUUUGACCCUCAGUGCCCACCUUGCCUAGGGCCACCCCACCGACAAGUGCCAAGGCGACACCUAUAGGUCGUGUUUUAUAACACUGAUAUCAUAGGUUAUUGUCCGAUCUAUACCAAUAUAUUAAAUUGGAGUUGGUGGUGAUGGUACGGUCGUCGCUGCCAUACGUCCUCGACCCUUUCCGCCCGACCCUCUCGCACGGGAGUCCCUGGCACGCGGCCCGACCCUAUCCCCUCUCCCUCUCGCUGUCUCGCACCUAUCCCCUCGAUCAAUCCAUCCUCCUCGAACUCUUCUUCCUCGCACUGCUCAAUCCGCAUCCUCCGCGAAUUCCCAAUCCACCUCCUCCCCUUCAUCGCCAGCCUCGCUCGCUCUCCAUGCCAUCGCAGCCGCUGCUCUCCCCCGCCGCGCCGCCCUCUCUCUUCCUAGCCGCGGACGCCGAGUUGGUGACAAUGGGCGGGCGCCGUACGUCGUGGCUUUCGAUCCCGCCCCACGCGGCCCGACCGGUUCAGCACUCCUCCACCCAUACCGGUCUCUGCCUCCUCCCCGAUCCGCCUCCUCCCCGAUCCGCCUCCUCUCCCUUCCAUCCUAAUUCACGAUUCCUCCGUCUCAUCCCAUCGGGAGCCCAGGGCCUCCACCGUUGCCUGCCCUCCCUCCCGCCGCCGUAGCCGCCGUCUCUUUUUCUCCCACCAUUGCGGGCUGCUUUCUCUCCAGCUGCCGCCUGCGCCCCGCACUGCCAAGGAGCGGAGCUGCUCCAAUUUGUCUCCUUCCUUCCCAAUCCCAUCUCCCCCUCCCCUGGCUAGCUCGCUGGCAACGCGGUGAUGAUUCCCCACCGGCUGGGGAGGGAGCAGGCGUGACUUGGCGCGAGUGGUGGGGUGCAUGAUGUCAUGGCGAGCAGGUUCUAAAUAUGGGCAACCAAUGCUACUGCUUUGCAGCCUUCCCUGUGCUUGAUGGAAUGCUUGGCUGCACCUAAGAGUGGCAUGGUAUGUGCACAAGAAAUUCCAUACAAGGCUGGCUGCAGAUGGUUGGCAUGUUUUGGUUUAGUUGCUUCAAAGGAAGACUUUCCUCAAUCUAAUUUGGUGAUGCUUUUAUGAAGUCUGCCUAUAAAUUUGACAGUAAUAAUGUAUCACCGGAAAACUUGAAAAAGCAGGUCAGAAAGUCCAGCAAGAACAGAGAAGAUAGAUUCGUACCCAUCAUGCAGACUCAUAAUAAUUGGGCUUUUUUUGGGAAAACUUGGCAAGAAUCAUCAUUGAGGUCUGUAGGAAAGUGUUCACUGAAGGGAAUAUCUCCUUAGCUUGUUCCAGGAUCAAGAAAGCUGCAGCUUAUGGGUAUGUAUUCCUUUCUGUAUUUCUGAAGAUUUUUUUUGCAGCAGAAGCUAAUGCACAUUUGGUGAGGUUUAUGGAUCAUGAGAUGGAUGGAUCCAUGGUCAUCAAUAAUCAACAGGUAUCUUCGAAUGUGCUGUUACAUCAGUCCAGCAAGGCAUGUGUGAUAGAGAAUUGGAAGGGGGCUAGCAGCUUGUACUGAGUGCCUUCUGUCCCGCCGUUUGCACUUCUAGGAAGUAAUGGUUUUGGAGGCCUUUAAGCUAAUCCUCCCAAGUGUUUACUUCGAUAUAAAUUACUUCUCGACUAUUACUUUUAUAUCUUUUUUGAAUCUCAAGAAUCAUUCAUUCCAUAUGAUAAUACGUUCAAGAUAUAACCAAAGAUUUACUCUAAAUAUAAAAGAGCGGCCACUUGCUCCUCGCCUCCUUUGUGACAAAAAAAACUCCUUGUCUCUUUCUACUGGAAGCAAUUAAAUCUAAUGCAAACUAAAACGGUGGUAAUGUUUGUCACUGAAAUUAGGACAAAUUUACUAGCAAGUGUUAUUACUAUAUAAUAGUGGUUUUUAGUCUAAUUUUAUCUGUAGCGAGUAGUCUAAUUUGAUUUAACCGUAGCGAUGCAAAUGUAAAUGUAAUCUUGAAGGAAUUAUCAUUUUCUUGUGAGGAUGUUAUUUGAAAAGUAUGUCAAACUGCUCGCGGACUGCAAAAGGCUUUAUUAUCAAUUUAUUUCGUGGGAACAAAACAUGCCAUCCAUUUUGUUGAAUUAUUAAGGUGAUUUGCAGUGUCAUUAGUCAAGCAUACUGAUGAUUUGAGCAAAAAUGAUUCCGUGGCAACGCACUGGCACUCCACUAGUUUAUAUAACGUGAUUGUUUCAUCUUUUGUAUAUCCGAGGAAUGAAAGUCCGUGCAUCCUUACUCCAGCGCGGAGAGUACAACUACUAAAAAAAAGAAUUCCCGGUAGAGAAAAAAUAACCAAGGUGUCGACAAAGUGAAAAUAUUGCAGAACAGUAUUUCACAAUCAAGAUCGUAAAGCCAAACAAAAAUGUUGUUUCUCAAAGGAAAUUAAAGAUAUUCACUUGUUUGUAGUUGCACAAGAAAAUCAAUAAAACCAAGGAACUAGCAAUUUUAAUGAGAUUAAAGGUAUCCGUCUUAUCUGACAGCUGCAUAAGCAAGAAACCAACUAAACAAUUCUAUGUCUACCUACUUAUGUUUGCCUUUCUAGGUCUAAAUCUCAAAAUCACUAUC
Molecule: long non-coding RNA, 3264 nt
Organism: Brachypodium distachyon (stiff brome)
Lineage: Eukaryota; Viridiplantae; Streptophyta; Magnoliopsida; Poales; Poaceae
Exons: 3
Source: RefSeq, a predicted model, not a curated record